RNAcentral lists this ribosomal RNA (578 nucleotides) under Pycnococcus provasolii. RNAcentral's name for it is "partial Eukaryotic small subunit ribosomal RNA". It matches the Rfam family "Eukaryotic small subunit ribosomal RNA", at positions 573 to 1155 of the family's 1831-position model. The record is from RNAcentral. Lineage: Eukaryota; Viridiplantae; Chlorophyta; Pseudoscourfieldiophyceae; Pseudoscourfieldiales; Pycnococcaceae.
GCCGCGGUAAUUCCAGCUCCAAUAGCGUAUAUUAAAGUUGUUGCAGUUAAAAAGCUCGUAGUUGAAACUUGGGCCUGGCUGGCAGGUCCGCCUCACCGCGUGUACUUGUCCGGCCGGGCCUUUCCUUCUGGAGAACCUCAUGCCCUUCACUGGGUGUGUUGGGGAACCAGGACUUUUACUUUGAAAAAAUUAGAGUGUUCAAAGCAGGCCUUUGCUCGAAUACGUUAGCAUGGAAUAAUAGAAUAGGACGUGCGGUCCUAUUUUGUUGGUUUCUAGGACCGCCGUAAUGAUUAAUAGGGACAGUCGGGGGCAUCAGUAUUCAAUUGUCAGAGGUGAAAUUCUUGGAUUUAUUGAAGACUAACUACUGCGAAAGCAUUUGCCAAGGAUGUUUUCAUUAAUCAGUGAACGAAAGUUAGGGGAUCGAAGACGAUCAGAUACCGUCGUAGUCUUAACCGUAAACUAUGCCGACUAGGGAUCGGGCGAUGUUCUUUUUCUGACUCGCUCGGCACCUUACGAGAAAUCAAAGUUUUUGGGUUCUGGGGGGAGUAUGGUCGCAAGGCUGAAACUUAAAGAAAUUG